CCCAGACAGCCAGGAUGUUGGCUUAGAAGCAGCCAUCAUUUAAAGAAAGCGUAAUAGCUCACUGGUCGAGUCGGCCUGCGCGGAAGAUGUAACGGGGCUAAACCAUGCACCGAAGCUGCGGCAGCGACACUAUGUGUUGUUGGGUAGGGGAGCGUUCUGUAAGCCUGUGAAGGUGUGCUGUGAGGCAUGCUGGAGGUAUCAGAAGUGCGAAUGCUGACAUAAGUAACGAUAAAGCGGGUGAAAAGCCCGCUCGCCGGAAGACCAA
This 265-nucleotide ribosomal RNA is filed under the name Salmonella enterica subsp. enterica serovar Cerro. Its description in RNAcentral is "partial 23S ribosomal RNA". It matches the Rfam family "Bacterial large subunit ribosomal RNA", at positions 1084 to 1348 of the family's 2925-position model. Lineage: Bacteria; Pseudomonadati; Pseudomonadota; Gammaproteobacteria; Enterobacterales; Enterobacteriaceae. The record is from RNAcentral.